GCUUGGGGAAUAGGGAAAGGGCAAUUAAAACUAAACUCUGACUCGGCCCUCCAGAUGGGCUAUGGCCGGGAAGAGGUCAGGGAGCAAGGGGGCCACGGGGAUCCGGGGCGUGGGACUCGGGCCCCGGCCUGAGUCUUAGGUAUCCGUAGCGCCCUCCUUCUUCCUCCUCUUCGCUGAAUACAGCUCACGGUAAGUACUGGUUCACACAGUUCGUUCUCUGGGUGCUCACUCUCUUUCUCUUUCUCCACAGGCAACGGCUGGGACACACAGGCACAGUUAGUUCAGCUUGGUUUUGCUCUCACCUCUUCGCUGAUUACAGCUCACAGUAAGUACUGGUUCACACAGUUCGUUCCUUGGGUGCUCACUCGCUUUCUCUUUCUCCACAGGCAGCGGCGUAAGUACAGGUUUCCUCGGUCUCUCCUCGUGUUACCCACUCUCUCUCCUUUUCUCUCCACAGGCAUCAACUUGGGCACACUAGCACAGUUAGUUUGCUUUGAAUGGCUCUCACCUCUGGGCUGAACACAGCGUACUGUAAGUACAGGUUCCCUCUGUUCGUUCUCUGGGUGCUCACUCUCUUUCUCUUUCUCCACAGGCAACGGCUGGGACACACAGGCACAGUUAGUUCAGCUUGGUUUUGCUCUCACCUCUUCGCUGAUUACAGCUCACAGUAAGUACUGGUUCACACAGUUCGUUCCUUGGGUGCUCACUC
Molecule: long non-coding RNA, 709 nt
Organism: Cyprinus carpio carpio
Lineage: Eukaryota; Metazoa; Chordata; Actinopteri; Cypriniformes; Cyprinidae
Source: Ensembl